Molecule: ribosomal RNA, 275 nt
Filed under: uncultured bacterium
Lineage: Bacteria
Description: partial 16S ribosomal RNA
Rfam family: Bacterial small subunit ribosomal RNA
Source: RNAcentral
GCGUGUGUGAUGAAGGCCUUAGGGUUGUAAAGCACUUUUGUCCGGGAAGAUAAUGACUGUACCGGAAGAAUAAGCCCCGGCUAACUUCGUGCCAGCAGCCGCGGUAAUACGAAGGGGGCUAGCGUUGCUCGGAAUCACUGGGCGUAAAGCGCACGUAGGCGGAUUACUAAGUCGGAGGUGAAAGCCUGGGGCUCAACCCCAGAAUUGCCUUCGAUACUGGUAGUCUCGAGUUUGGAAGAGGUUGGUGGAACUCCGAGUGUAGAGGUGAAAUUCGU